GAAGCAAUUUUUAUUGUUACUUUUAUCACAAUAGUCCACAAAAUAUGGUAAGUCCAUAUUGCCUUUUACUAUGUGUAACAAAUUGAGUUUCACUUUCUGAAAUGAGUGAUGAAAAACAUUUAACUUUUUCAUGAUAUUAAAUUUUUUGCGAGGUACCUUGAUCCACAUUUAACACGUCACCUCUCAUUUUAAACACACACACACACACACACACACACACAGCAGGCAUUCUUGUCAUGUAGUACUAUGUGAUCUGACCCUAGCUGCUAUGCCCACAGCCCCUUAAUAUAGCCCACUGCUGUCAUGGUACUUUUUGCCCCCCUUCACCUGCUCUGCUCUGAGCGUCAGUACAUGUCCAUGUUUAUCCCAACCUGGCCGGGGGUUUUGGGGGUGUCUAUAUUGCGACUAGCUGUGAAAUAUUGUUACCAUCUUGUGUUAUUUCCCAAGUAAUCGUGACGCAGACAGUCUUUCGGUCAAAUGAGAUUCAUUCCCGUCUAACAGCCAUUUGUUUCUCCUUUUAUUUUUUAAGUCUUUUUGUUUUGAAAGGUCCAAUAUAAAGAUGAAAGAAACAGGCUGAUAAAGAGAAGAGGUUCUGGUCAUGUUUUGGCCACAGUCCCUUAUUGCAUUAGAGCUACUAUGGCUCAGUGAGAUAUCUUUGUCCUGGCCAUCAGCCAGAGGACAUGUACAGACAAACACGCACACACACACUGAGAAAAGCAAAGAGAUGCAGCAGAGACCCCUGCUCUCUGAGACGAAUCAUUUUGGGGACUGACUGGAAGCUGUGAGGACCUCUCUCUUUCUUUUUGCCGGCAUUCCAAGGAACUUUCACAUGUCCGCCUCUUCCUGUGUUUUGCUCUUUUUCUUGACAUGUCCUGGAAAACUGGAAUACUUUCCUUAAUUUUUCCAUAACAUUCAACAAAUGGGACUUUGAGGAGCCACUUGUGGUAAAACUCAAAGGUGGAAGACGCGGUGGAUUAUU
Molecule: long non-coding RNA, 979 nt
Organism: Poecilia latipinna (sailfin molly)
Lineage: Eukaryota; Metazoa; Chordata; Actinopteri; Cyprinodontiformes; Poeciliidae
Exons: 3
Source: RefSeq, a predicted model, not a curated record